GUGACCUCCCAUCAGGCACGACUAUCCGCUGAACAUCAGCAUAUCAAUCAGUGCCGCAACAUGAUACUAACAAGGAUUCUCCCUAGUAACUGCGUAGUGAGACGGGAAGAAGCUCAAAUCUAAUAUCUGUCAGUCUUUGCUAGUCCGCAGUUGUAAUGCUAAAGAAUGUCUUAUCGGUCGCUGGACCAUGUAUCAGUCUCUCUUGACUGUGACGUCCGCAAAAGAGUCGUAAUCCCUAUCGUUUUACUGACAGCCGAGGCUUCUUGCAUACGCACGCUCUACCGAGCUCAGAUUGUCUCGAAAUGCAG
This 308-nucleotide ribosomal RNA is filed under the name uncultured Cortinarius. Its description in RNAcentral is "eukaryotic LSU rRNA". Lineage: Eukaryota; Fungi; Basidiomycota; Agaricomycetes; Agaricales; Cortinariaceae. The record is from RNAcentral.